UUAAGCGACUAAGCGUACACGGUGGAUGCCCUGGCAGUCAGAGGCGAUGAAGGGCGUGCUAAUCUGCGAUAAGCGCCGGUAAGGUGAUAUGAACCGUUAUAACCGGCGAUACCCGAAUGGGGAAACCCAGUGUGAUUCGUCACACUAUCAUUAACUGAAUCCAUAGGUUAAUGAGGCGAACCGGGGGAACUGAAACAUCUAAGUACCCCGAGGAAAAGAAAUCAACCGAGAUUCCCCCAGUAGCGGCGAGCGAACGGGGAGGAGCCCAGAGCCUGAAUCAGCAUGUGUGUUAGUGGAAGCGUCUGGAAAGGCGCGCGAUACAGGGUGACAGCCCCGUACACAAAAGCGCAUGUGCUGUGAGCUCGAUGAGUAGGGCGGGACACGUGGUAUCCUGUCUGAAUAUGGGGGGACCAUCCUCCAAGGCUAAAUACUCCUGACUGACCGAUAGUGAACCAGUACCGUGAGGGAAAGGCGAAAAGAACCCCGGCGAGGGGAGUGAAAAAGAACCUGAAACCGUGUACGUACAAGCAGUGGGAGCCCCACCACUAAGCCAGUGGUGAACUCCACAUACGCAUCCUUUGCUGAGGAUACGGUUAACGGAGCGAAAGCGACGUUCAACCGCAAAACAAGCAGAGGGGGCUUAGUGGUGGGGUGACUGCGUACCUUUUGUAUAAUGGGUCAGCGACUUAUAUUCUGUAGCAAGGUUAACCGAAUAGGGGAGCCGUAGGGAAACCGAGUCUUAACCGGGCGUUAAGUUGCAGGGUAUAGACCCGAAACCCGGUGAUCUAGCCAUGGGCAGGUUGAAGGUUGGGUAACACUAACUGGAGGACCGAACCGACUAAUGUUGAAAAAUUAGCGGAUGACCUGUGGCUGGGGGUGAAAGGCCAAUCAAACCGGGAGAUAGCUGGUUCUCCCCGAAAGCUAUUUAGGUAGCGCCUCGUGAAUUCAUCUCCGGGGGUAGAGCACUGUUUCGGCUAGGGGGCCAUCCCGGCUUACCAACCCGAUGCAAACUGCGAAUACCGGAGAAUGUUAUCACGGGAGACACACGGCGGGUGCUAACGUCCGUCGUGAAGAGGGAAACAACCCAGACCGCCAGCUAAGGUCCCAAAGUCAUGGUUAAGUGGGAAACGAUGUGGGAAGGCCCAGACAGCCAGGAUGUUGGCUUAGAAGCAGCCAUCAUUUAAAGAAAGCGUAAUAGCUCACUGGUCGAGUCGGCCUGCGCGGAAGAUGUAACGGGGCUAAACCAUGCACCGAAGCUGCGGCAGCGAACGUAUCACUUAAAGCGAUUCAGCGGGUUACGAUUGACGGAGCGAAGCGACGUCAAAGCGUAUACAAAGUCGAGUCGGUUUAAGGAUACGUUCGUUGGGUAGGGGAGCGUUCUGUAAGCCUGCGAAGGUGGCCUGUGAGGGUUGCUGGAGGUAUCAGAAGUGCGAAUGCUGACAUAAGUAACGAUAAAGCGGGUGAAAAGCCCGCUCGCCGGAAGACCAAGGGUUCCUGUCCAACGUUAAUCGGGGCAGGGUGAGUCGACCCCUAAGGCGAGGCCGAAAGGCGUAGUCGAUGGGAAACGGGUUAAUAUUCCCGUACUUGGUGUUACUGCGAAGGGGGGACGGAGAAGGCUAUGUUGGCCGGGCGACGGUUGUCCCGGUUUAAGCGUGUAGGUGUGUGUUCCAGGUAAAUCCGGUUCACUUUAACACUGAGGCGUGACGACGAGGCACUACGGUGCUGAAGCAACAAAUGCCCUGCUUCCAGGAAAAGCCUCUAAGCAUCAGGUAACAUCAAAUCGUACCCCAAACCGACACAGGUGGUCAGGUAGAGAAUACCAAGGCGCUUGAGAGAACUCGGGUGAAGGAACUAGGCAAAAUGGUGCCGUAACUUCGGGAGAAGGCACGCUGAUAUGUAGGUGAAGCGGUUUACCCGUGGAGCUGAAAUCAGUCGAAGAUACCAGCUGGCUGCAACUGUUUAUUAAAAACACAGCACUGUGCAAACACGAAAGUGGACGUAUACGGUGUGACGCCUGCCCGGUGCCGGAAGGUUAAUUGAUGGGGUCAGCGCAAAGCGAAGCUCCUGAUCGAAGCCCCGGUAAACGGCGGCCGUAACUAUAACGGUCCUAAGGUAGCGAAAUUCCUUGUCGGGUAAGUUCCGACCUGCACGAAUGGCGUAAUGAUGGCCAGGCUGUCUCCACCCGAGACUCAGUGAAAUUGAACUCGCUGUGAAGAUGCAGUGUACCCGCGGCAAGACGGAAAGACCCCGUGAACCUUUACUAUAGCUUGACACUGAACAUUGAGCCUUGAUGUGUAGGAUAGGUGGGAGGCUUUGAAGUGUGGACGCCAGUCUGCAUGGAGCCGACCUUGAAAUACCACCCUUUAAUGUUUGAUGUUCUAACGUGGACCCGUAAUCCGGGUUGCGGACAGUGUCUGGUGGGUAGUUUGACUGGGGCGGUCUCCUCCUAAAAGAGUAACGGAGGAGCACGAAGGUUGGCUAAUCCUGGUCGGACAUCAGGAGGUUAGUGCAAUGGCAUAAGCCAGCUUGACUGCGAGCGUGACGGCGCGAGCAGGUGCGAAAGCAGGUCAUAGUGAUCCGGUGGUUCUGAAUGGAAGGGCCAUCGCUCAACGGAUAAAAGGUACUCCGGGGAUAACAGGCUGAUACCGCCCAAGAGUUCAUAUCGACGGCGGUGUUUGGCACCUCGAUGUCGGCUCAUCACAUCCUGGGGCUGAAGUAGGUCCCAAGGGUAUGGCUGUUCGCCAUUUAAAGUGGUACGCGAGCUGGGUUUAGAACGUCGUGAGACAGUUCGGUCCCUAUCUGCCGUGGGCGCUGGAGAACUGAGGGGGGCUGCUCCUAGUACGAGAGGACCGGAGUGGACGCAUCACUGGUGUUCGGGUUGUCAUGCCAAUGGCACUGCCCGGUAGCUAAAUGCGGAAGAGAUAAGUGCUGAAAGCAUCUAAGCACGAAACUUGCCCCGAGAUGAGUUCUCCCUGAGACUUAGAGUCUCCUGAAGGAACGUUGAAGACGACGACGUUGAUAGGCCGGGUGUGUAAGCGCAGCGAUGCGUUGAGCUAACCGGUACUAAUGAACCGUGAGGCUUAACCUU
RNAcentral lists this ribosomal RNA (3088 nucleotides) under Salmonella enterica subsp. enterica. Its description in RNAcentral is "bacterial LSU rRNA". It matches the Rfam family "Bacterial large subunit ribosomal RNA". The record is from RNAcentral. Lineage: Bacteria; Pseudomonadati; Pseudomonadota; Gammaproteobacteria; Enterobacterales; Enterobacteriaceae.